UGGGGAAUAUUGGACAAUGGGCGAAAGCCUGAUCCAGCCAUGCCGCGUGUGUGAAGAAGGUCUUCGGAUUGUAAAGCACUUUAAGUUGGGAGGAAGGGCAGUAAGCGAAUACCUUGCUGUUUUGACGUUACCGACAGAAUAAGCACCGGCUAACUCUGUGCCAGCAGCCGCGGUAAUACAGAGGGUGCAAGCGUUAAUCGGAAUUACUGGGCGUAAAGCGCGCGUAGGUGGUUCGUUAAGUUGAAUGUGAAAGCCCCGGGCUCAACCUGGGAACUGCAUCCAAAACUGGCGAGCUGGAGUAGGGCAGAGGGUGGUGGAAUUUCCUGUGUAGCGGUGAAAUGCGUAGAUAUAGGAAGGAACACCAGUGGCGAAGGCGACCACCUGGGCUCAUACUGACACUGAGGUGCGAAAACGUGGGGAGCAAACAGG
RNAcentral lists this ribosomal RNA (429 nucleotides) under Pseudomonadota bacterium. RNAcentral describes it as "Proteobacteria bacterium partial 16S ribosomal RNA". It matches the Rfam family "Bacterial small subunit ribosomal RNA", at positions 355 to 776 of the family's 1533-position model. Lineage: Bacteria; Pseudomonadati; Pseudomonadota. The record is from RNAcentral.